CCCUGUCAGUGCUGCCAAAUAAGUAUUCCUUUGUUCUCUGCCACACUGUCAAAUAUGUAGGCAUUCAGGAGAAAUGUCUGGAAACCAGCUAACAUGAGGCAGUUACGGUGGCCCAUCAGAGAGCGUUAAGAGAAGAUUUUCCUCCCAGAUUCUCUAAGGACCCAUUGGCCUCUGCUGAUUUAGUGUCACUGCUUGAAGCCAUCAUUACUCCUAGUGACCUUUCAUCUUUGUGGCUGCUUUUUGUGAGGAGGGCCUAAACAUGACUCUCUUGAUUGUAAGCUUUAUUCAGGCAGAGAAACCGAGCCUUGAAGAUACUAUCAACAUGCCUACGUUUACAGAGAAAGCAACCCUGGAUUGUGGCUGACUCCAAAGUCAGUUUGCCAGCGUGCAGUUCAAGUGAAUCUGCCAAUUCUCGGGAACCUUUGUGAUACCGCUCUCUGGAGAUGCCACUUCCUUUCAGUGGUGCAUCUAGUCAGCUCCCCUGCGCUGGGCUCCAGCAACAUUAAGGGAUGCUGUUCCACCUGAGUAUACAUUUCAAGACUGUGUCUUCCUUGCCCAUCGUUGGGUGGCCUGCACAGUUCCUGGCCCGGAGUGAAUGUGUAGUUUUGAAAUGAGAACCAAAUGAGGCUGCUUUUGCUCUCGACACGCCAGGUCUUCACACACUCCCAGCACCCAGGGCUGUGUGGCCAGUCUCAGAUCCGGAGCAGGUGAUGUGCGUGGGCCUGUGACUAACAGAGCCACACGACGCAGGAGGGAGGCAGCCUGGAAAGCCA
Molecule: long non-coding RNA, 773 nt
Organism: Myotis myotis
Lineage: Eukaryota; Metazoa; Chordata; Mammalia; Chiroptera; Vespertilionidae
Exons: 5
Source: RefSeq, a predicted model, not a curated record